AACAAGGUUUCCGUAGGUGAACCUGCGGAAGGAUCAUUACCGAGUGUAGGGUUCCUAGCGAGCCCAACCUCCCACCCGUGUUUACUGUACCUUAGUUGCUUCGGCGGGCCCGCCAUUCGUGGCCGCCGGGGGCUCUCAGCCCCGGGCCCGCGCCCGCCGGAGACACCACGAACUCUGUCUGAUCUAGUGAAGUCUGAGUUGAUUGUAUCGCAAUCAGUUAAAACUUUCAACAAUGGAUCUCUUGGUUCCGGCAUCGAUGAAGAACGCAGCGAAAUGCGAUAACUAGUGUGAAUUGCAGAAUUCCGUGAAUCAUCGAGUCUUUGAACGCACAUUGCGCCCCCUGGUAUUCCGGGGGGCAUGCCUGUCCGAGCGUCAUUGCUGCCCAUCAAGCACGGCUUGUGUGUUGGGUCGUCGUCCCCUCUCCGGGGGGGACGGGCCCCAAAGGCAGCGGCGGCACCGCGUCCGAUCCUCGAGCGUAUGGGGCUUUGUCACCCGCUCUGUAGGCCCGGCCGGCGCUUGCCGAACGCAAAUCAAUCUUUUUCCAGGUUGACCUCGGAUCAGGUAGGGAUACCCGCUGAACUUAAGCAUAUC
RNAcentral lists this ribosomal RNA (591 nucleotides) under Aspergillus flavus. RNAcentral's name for it is "eukaryotic LSU rRNA". The stretch from base 222 to 375 matches the Rfam family "5.8S ribosomal RNA". Lineage: Eukaryota; Fungi; Ascomycota; Eurotiomycetes; Eurotiales; Aspergillaceae. The record is from RNAcentral.